Molecule: ribosomal RNA, 433 nt
Filed under: uncultured bacterium
Lineage: Bacteria
Description: bacterial SSU rRNA
Rfam family: Bacterial small subunit ribosomal RNA
Source: RNAcentral
AACGAACGCUGGCGGCAGGCCUAACACAUGCAAGUCGAGCGAGACCUUCGGGUCUAGCGCGGACGGGUUAGUAACGCGUGGGAACGUGCCCUUCUCUGCGGAAUAGCCACUGGAAACGGUGAGUAAUACCGCAUACGCCCUUCGGGGGAAAGAGUUUAUCGGAGAAGGAUCGGCCCGCGUUAGAUUAGAUAGUUGGUGGGUAGCGGCCUACCAAGUCUACGAUCUAUAGCUGGUUUUUAGAGGAUGAUCAGCAACACUGGGACUGAGACACGGCCCAGACUCCUACGGGAGGCAGCAGUGGGGAAUCUUAGACAAUGGGCGCAAGCCUGAUCUAGCCAUGCCGCGUGUGUGAUGAAGGUCUUAGGAUCGUAAAGCACUUUCGCCAGGGAUGAUAAUGACAGUACCUGGUAAAGAAACCCCGGCUAACUCCGUG